This 487-nucleotide ribosomal RNA is filed under the name uncultured soil bacterium. Its description in RNAcentral is "bacterial SSU rRNA". It matches the Rfam family "Bacterial small subunit ribosomal RNA", at positions 26 to 492 of the family's 1533-position model. The record is from RNAcentral.
AGAUUGAACGCUGGCGGCAUGCCUUACACAUGCAAGUCGAACGGCAGCACGGGAGCAAUCCUGGUGGCGAGUGGCGAACGGGUGAGUAAUAUAUCGGAACGUGCCCAGUCGUGGGGGGAUAACGCAGCGAAAGCUGUGCUAAUACCGCAUACGAUCUAUGGAUGAAAGCGGGGGAUCGCAAGACCUCGCGCGAUUGGAGCGGCCGAUAUCAGAUUAGCUAGUUGGUGGGUAAAAGCCUACCAAGGCGACGAUCUGUAGCUGGUCUGAGAGGACGACCAGCCACACUGGAACUGAGACACGGUCCAGACUCUACGGAGGCAGCAGUGGGGAAUUUGGACAAUGGGCGACAAGCCUGAUCCAGCAAUCGCCGCGUGCGAGAUGAAGGUCCUUCGGGUUAGUAAACUGUACUUUUGUAACGGAAACGUAAACGGUUCUCUACUAACUACGAACGGGACUAAGUCGUAACGGUAACCGUAAAGAAUAAACG